AACCAUGGGGUAGGAAACCCCUAGCAUCGUUCGGGUCUCCUAUAAAUAAUUUCUCAGGUUGAUGUUGGGGCCAGUAAAUUGAUAGAGAGGCGGGGGCUUCUCCCUCCAUUUUUAUUUGACCCCCCUGCUCAGCGUUUUCUUUUAGCAAUGGCAACCAACAACGCUUCUCAUAUUCUCGAAGAAGAAGAAGAAGAUACUGAUGAAGAAGAAGAAGAAACUGAUGAAGAAGAAGAAACGAAUGAUGAAGGAGAAGAAACGGAAGAAGAAGAAGAAGAAGAUGAUGAUGGGAACGACGUUCCUCUUAGAAGAAGUGCAAGGCAUCCACAGUCUCCUCUCCCGAAUUCUCCUGUUCCCAUUGUCAUCGAAGAAGAAGAUGGAGAAGAAGAAGCAGCGUCUCCUCUGCUGGUUUCUCCGGACACAGCCCGGCCCACUUCAGUAGAAGGAAAAGGGAAUUGUACCACGGGUUCCUCACAGAACGAGCCUGACUCCUUCUCUUGCCCAAUCUGCAUGGAGCCGUGGUCUGCAGUUGGCGUCCAUCGAACAUGUUGUCUUCCUUGUGGACAUGUAUACGGGAGAUCUUGCAUAGAGAGAUGGAUUAGGCAAGGCAGUAAAAAUUUUGGGAAGUGUCCACAAUGCAAUAAGAAGUCUAAGUUGUCAGAGAUCAGAAAUCUUUAUGUUCCGCAUGUAGUCAUUGUUGAUGAAGAUCUACAGAAGGAAGUUGUCUCUCUUCGGUCUGAAAAUGAGUUUCUUAAGAUGCGGAAUGGUUCUUUGCUUGAGGAAGUACGUGGUCUAAAGAAGCGUCAAAUGGAGAGAGAAGUUUAUGAUAAGCAGAAGGCAGCACGUCGUGAACAUGUUCCAUUAGGAGGGUUGAAGACGAGGUUGUUUGAAUAUGCUGACGAUGAACAUAACACUGGCUCACAAAAUUAUAGCCGAAGACGGCAAGGAGGGUCUUGUUGCAGCAUUGCUUUAAAGGAUGAGUUUGGGGUUGAUGGUGCUCGGGUUUUUGAUAUUGAUGCUUCUAGUGAAAUUCUAGUUGUCUCUCGUAGACCGUCUGGAAUGGCUGGAGUGCAUGUGCUGACCAAAAUUAGCUUGUUACCUCCUUAUGAAAAUGAUAACAUACAACUUCCACAUGACACCAAAGCCGUUAGAGACGUACGCAUUUCUCAUCCUCCUGGAAGACUUGCACUUCUGGCUUCAAUGGGAAAGAAACUGUCAAUUGUCAGCAUGGAAAGCAACAAUGUUGUCCUCACCUACGACUUACCGGUACCUGCCUGGUCUUGUUCAUGGGAUUUCAACAGUCCGUAUCAUGUUUAUGCUGGAUUGCAGAAUGGCAUGCUAAUGGUGUUUGAUUUGCGUCAAACUGCCGGACCCAUGGAAUCAACUAGCGGUUUGACCACCCAUCCAAUUCAUACUAUCCACUCUAUUUCACAUGAUAGGUUGCAUAGUCCAUCCUCUGUUGUUAGAACACUUUUAACUGCUUCUUCCAUUGGUCCAUGCGAAUGGGAUAUUGGGGGUGUUUAUGCAAGGCCAUUGCUAAUUCCUGAAAUGGAGAAUCAAGGUGUUUGUAUAUCACUUGCUUAUUGCAACUCAAGCAGUGACAUCAUUGCUUCCUUCCGGCCCAAAGUCCAGAUUCCUAAUGAUAAUGUGGCUUCUCAGGCUUCACUUUCUGCUUCACCAACUGUUUCUAUACAGCCUUCACUUCCAGCUUCACCAACUGUUUCUAGACCAGCAAUAAUGGGUUCACAUGUUCUUGUUAAGAGGGUGGGUGGAAACUCUUAUCAGAGUAUUGGAUCUGCGCCAUGCAAUGUAAGUGAAGUUCGAAUGCCAAAGUCAGCAAUUAUAAGCAUAGAGGAUAACAACCCGCUCUUUGCAUUUGGAGAUGAAAUAACACAUGGACUGUGUGUGCGAGACUUGCCUUCUUUCGGAGUUGUUGAGCAUCUUAAACGACACCCACAUCCCAUCCUCGAUGUAAAGUAUGCACGUUCCACCAGCCUAGGUUUACUCAGUUGCAUUAGUGAGAACAGGCUGCAAAUUUUCACUUGCUCAGGACCUUGAUGCAGUCCCUUGCUCUGGAAGCUCUUGUUAUGGAGGGAUGUGCCAGUGUUGAGUUAUCAUCGUGCCUUGUGUUUGUGAAGAAAACCCCCUUCAGAGGCUAUCUUUCUUGGGUCCAAAACAACAGUCGCCUCUCCCUUCACGGACCCAUGGGUCAUAUGCUGCUAGAAAUGGAACUGAGUGGAGGGCAGAUUUGUGGUGCUUGAUCCACAAGGGGCAGUUUGUUUAAUUAUAAGCAUGGGAUCAAGACCCUGUUUCACCAGUGACCUUUCUGAGUCAACCAUCUGAAACAUGAAAAGUUCAUCUGAGUUCAAGGGACUCCCAACGGUUUUGGUCGAGUCAGAAUGGGUUGCAGUGGUUUUUGUACCCAGUCAAGUCAUUCUCCAAAUCCAUGUUUUGAUCACUCGACCAGAAGAUUAAUGGUUGCUGCUGUGUUAUAUGACUGGCGGACAAGGAAUAGCUGCUGCUUGAUGGUGAUCCGCUAUCUUCACAUGGGUGUUGGGUUUCUUAUCCUGCAUCCCACUCAUCCAUCCAUGUACAAUGUGUAUGUUUAUCAACUACCAUUUCACUAGUCUAUAUGAGUGAACCCAACAGGUUUCACUAGCUUUGAACCAUAGGGUCUGUGUUUUUAUUAUUUUUAGAUUGUCACUUGCGAAAGCACCUGCCGCUCGUUGUUCUUCAAGGCAGAUAUUGCAGAGAUAUGUGGAGAAUGUAUCAUGACUACACAACAUACACGACAGUUUUCGAAAUAUCGGUAUCGCGUUACGUAUCACACCCUUGGGAUAUGGAUACGUAUCGUUUAUCGCAUGGGAUAUAUCGGCUGUAUCGUGCAAUGUAUUGCUGUUAUUGGAAA
Magnolia sinica is the source of this 2905-nucleotide RNA transcript. RefSeq lists it as uncharacterized. NCBI's taxonomy places the organism in Eukaryota, Viridiplantae, Streptophyta, Magnoliopsida, Magnoliales, Magnoliaceae. The record is from RefSeq and is a predicted model, not a curated record. The transcript has 16 exons.